This 439-nucleotide ribosomal RNA is filed under the name uncultured bacterium. Its description in RNAcentral is "bacterial SSU rRNA". It matches the Rfam family "Bacterial small subunit ribosomal RNA", at positions 29 to 507 of the family's 1533-position model. RNAcentral also lists the same sequence under 1 other name. The record is from RNAcentral.
AACGAACGCUGGCGGCAGGCUUAACACAUGCAAGUCGAACGCUCGGAGCGAUCCGGGAGUGGCGGACGGGUGAGUAACGCGUGGGAACGUGCCCUGAGGUUGGGAAUAACUGCGGGAAACUGCAGCUAAUACCUGAUGAGCCCGAGCAAUCGGGGAAAGAUUUAUCGCCUUGGGAGCGGCCCGCGUCGGAUUAGCUAGUUGGUGGGGUAACGGCCUACCAAGGCUUCGAUCCGUAGCUGGUCUGAGAGGACGAUCAGCCACACUGGGACUGAGACACGGCCCAGACUCCUACGGGAGGCAGCAGUGGGGAAUCUUGCGCAAUGGGGGCAACCCUGACGCAGCCAUGCCGCGUGAAUGAUGAAGGCCUUAGGGUUGUAAAGUUCUUUUGCCCGUGACGAUGAUGACGGUAACGGGAGAAUAAGCUCCGGCUAACUUCGUG